This is a long non-coding RNA of Agrilus planipennis (emerald ash borer), 639 nucleotides long. RefSeq lists it as uncharacterized. The transcript has 2 exons. Lineage: Eukaryota; Metazoa; Arthropoda; Insecta; Coleoptera; Buprestidae. The record is from RefSeq and is a predicted model, not a curated record.
AUUUUUUCCUCAUUAAUUUGACGUAGUGUGUAGUGGGUAAAAAAUUCAGAAACGAAUUUCAGAAUAAUAUUUCACAUACAUUUUUUAUGUGUUUGCAACUAAGAAUUUUAAGCGAUGUGUGAUAAAAAAUACGUACUUAUGUCCAAUUUGAGGUGAAAUUAUAAUUAGGUACAAAUUAAAUAUUAACACACCAUUAAAACUGAUUGCAUUCUUUUGUUUAAAUUAUAAAAAAAAUAAGACAUUAUUUCUUUGUAAUUUUUAAUAUUAAUCAACAAGGGUAGAUAUAGGUUAGGCAACAAUUCUGUAACGUAUUUAAUUCGUGCAAAUAUUUGUCACUUGAUUCGUUAUUUUAUUACUUAAUAAUGUAAACACAUUUUUUAAUAACAAUAAGCAAAUUUGUUUUCCUAAAACAUGUCGAAAUAGUUGUGUGUGAUAACGCGGUCAUACAAUUAAUGUGCCAGUAAUGCCUGAUACUAAAAUUGAAAAAUAUGCGAUUAAUAUCGUUUCAGACAUCACAAAAACCAAAAAUAUUCCUUGUAAACUUGUGAUAUAAAAAUCUCCCGUUAAAUAUGUUCAGCGACAUUAAUUUUUGGAUAUUAUUUUAGCCAGUUGAAAAUCUAUAGAUAGUCGGGCGAUUAA